GAUGAACGCUGGCGGCGUGCCUAAUACAUGCAAGUCGAGCGAACGGACGAGAAGCUUGCUUCUCUGAAGUUAGCGGCGGACGGGUGAGUAACACGUGGAUAACCUACCUAUAAGACUGGGAUAACUUCGGGAAACCGGAGCUAAUACCGGAUAAUAUUUUGAACCGCAUGGUUCAAAAGUGAAAGACGGUCUUGCUGUCACUUAUAGAUGGAUCCGCGCUGCAUUAGCUAGUUGGUAAGGUAACGGCUUACCAAGGCAACGAUGCAUAGCCGACCUGAGAGGGUGAUCGGCCACACUGGAACUGAGACACGGUCCAGACUCCUACGGGAGGCAGCAGUAGGGAAUCUUCCGCAAUGGGCGAAAGCCUGACGGAGCAACGCCGCGUGAGUGAUGAAGGUCUUCGGAUCGUAAAACUCUGUUAUUAGGGAAGAACAUAUGUGUAAGUAACUGUGCACAUCUUGACGGUACCUAAUCAGAAAGCCACGGCUAACUACGUGCCAGCAGCCGCGGUAAUACGUAGGUGGCAAGCGUUAUCCGGAAUUAUUGGGCGUAAAGCGCGCGUAGGCGGUUUUUUAGUCUGAUGUGAAAGCCCACGGCUCAACCGUGGAGGGUCAUUGGAAACUGGAAAACUUGAGUGCAGAAGAGGAAAGUGGAAUUCCAUGUGUAGCGGUGAAAUGCGCAGAGAUAUGGAGGAACACCAGUGGCGAAGGCGACUUUCUGGUCUGUAACUGACGCUGAUGUGCGAAAGCGUGGGGAUCAAACAGGAUUAGAUACCCUGGUAGUCCACGCCGUAAACGAUGAGUGCUAAGUGUUAGGGGGUUUCCGCCCCUUAGUGCUGCAGCUAACGCAUUAAGCACUCCGCCUGGGGAGUACGACCGCAAGGUUGAAACUCAAAGGAAUUGACGGGGACCCGCACAAGCGGUGGAGCAUGUGGUUUAAUUCGAAGCAACGCGAAGAACCUUACCAAAUCUUGACAUCCUUUGACAACUCUAGAGAUAGAGCCUUCCCCUUCGGGGGACAAAGUGACAGGUGGUGCAUGGUUGUCGUCAGCUCGUGUCGUGAGAUGUUGGGUUAAGUCCCGCAACGAGCGCAACCCUUAAGCUUAGUUGCCAUCAUUAAGUUGGGCACUCUAAGCUGACUGCCGGUGACAAACCGGAGGAAGGUGGGGAUGACGUCAAAUCAUCAUGCCCCUUAUGAUUUGGGCUACACACGUGCUACAAUGGACAAUACAAAGGGCAGCGAAACCGCGAGGUCAAGCAAAUCCCAUAAAGUUGUUCUCAGUUCGGAUUGUAGUCUGCAACUCGACUACAUGAAGCUGGAAUCGCUAGUAAUCGUAGAUCAGCAUGCUACGGUGAAUACGUUCCCGGGUCU
This 1371-nucleotide ribosomal RNA is filed under the name uncultured bacterium. RNAcentral describes it as "bacterial SSU rRNA". It matches the Rfam family "Bacterial small subunit ribosomal RNA", at positions 28 to 1381 of the family's 1533-position model. The record is from RNAcentral.